Molecule: small nucleolar RNA, 98 nt
Organism: Carassius auratus (goldfish)
Lineage: Eukaryota; Metazoa; Chordata; Actinopteri; Cypriniformes; Cyprinidae
Gene: SNORD83A
Product: small nucleolar RNA U83B
Source: Ensembl
UGUGCACAUAAUGAUGAAAGACAUGGAUUAAUCGCGUCAGGCAUGGCGCCCGAAACACAUGAGGAAAUUUCCCAUGCUGCCUUCCUUCUGACAGCACA